This is a long non-coding RNA of Cololabis saira (Pacific saury), 515 nucleotides long. RefSeq lists it as uncharacterized. The transcript has 3 exons. The record is from RefSeq and is a predicted model, not a curated record. NCBI's taxonomy places the organism in Eukaryota, Metazoa, Chordata, Actinopteri, Beloniformes, Belonidae.
AUGGUUUAACUUUUCACCGGUUCCUGCUCGGAGGCAGAACCUCCAAACAUCUGAGAUAACAAACAGUCGUCGGCUCGCUUGGCUGUAAGACGACCAAAUAUAACCUUCCACAUUAUCCCGAUGUCGAUGAGAGUCUGCUCCCUGCAUUUUCAUUCUGGAAAACCAGCAAAUGAAAUGUACAGCUCCCACCCAGACUGAGCCCCAUCUCUCAACCUGGGCCACACUAAGAUAAAUGUCACAUCGACUGCACGCUAUGAGAGAAGGGAAGGAGAAAACGGUGGAGGACUGACAGUACACCUGCGAUGGAUGACACAGUUAUGGAUGACCUUCUUCCAGCAGUGGAGACACCAGCACCAGUAGACGAUGGAGCUGACCAGAGACCGCUGACAGAAUGUGACUUCUGUCAUCGUCGGCAGGAUGAAAUCAAGCGGCUGCUGGAAGAGAACAGGGCCCUGAAACGGGAGCUCGGUCAGAGGAAAAUGGGUGAACAUUUCCUGAAGGAUGACAUCAACAAA